This 465-nucleotide ribosomal RNA is filed under the name uncultured Klebsiella sp. RNAcentral's name for it is "bacterial SSU rRNA". It matches the Rfam family "Bacterial small subunit ribosomal RNA", at positions 338 to 795 of the family's 1533-position model. Lineage: Bacteria; Pseudomonadati; Pseudomonadota; Gammaproteobacteria; Enterobacterales; Enterobacteriaceae. The record is from RNAcentral.
CCUACGGGGGGCUGCAGUGGGGAAUAUUGCACAAUGGGCGCAAGCCUGAUGCAGCCAUGCCGCGUGUGUGAAGAGGGCCUUCGGGUUGUAAAGCACUUUCAGCGGGGAGGAAGGCGGUGAGGUUAAUAACCUCAUCGAUUGACGUUACCCGCAGAAGAAGCACCGGCUAACUCCGUGCCAGCAGCCGCGGUAAUACGGAGGGUGCAAGCGUUAAUCGGAAUUACUGGGCGUAAAGCGCACGCAGGCGGUCUGUCAAGUCGGAUGUGAAAUCCCCGGGCUCAACCUGGGAACUGCAUUCGAAACUGGCAGGCUAGAGUCUUGUAGAGGGGGGUAGAAUUCCAGGUGUAGCGGUGAAAUGCGUAGAGAUCUGGAGGAAUACCGGUGGCGAAGGCGGCCCCCUGGACAAAGACUGACGCUCAGGUGCGAAAGCGUGGGGAGCAAGCAGGAUUAGAUACCCUUGUAGUC